GGGUUGUGAGGUUAAGCGACUAAGCGUACACGGUGGAUGCCCUGGCAGUCAGAGGCGAUGAAGGGCGUGCUAAUCUGCGAUAAGCGCCGGUAAGGUGAUAUGAACCGUUAUAACCGGCGAUACCCGAAUGGGGAAACCCAGUGUGACUCGUCACACUAUCAUUAACUGAAUCCAUAGGUUAAUGAGGCGAACCGGGGGAACUGAAACAUCUAAGUACCCCGAGGAAAAGAAAUCAACCGAGAUUCCCCCAGUAGCGGCGAGCGAACGGGGAGGAGCCCAGAGCCUGAAUCAGCAUGUGUGUUAGUGGAAGCGUCUGGAAAGGCGCGCGAUACAGGGUGACAGCCCCGUACACAAAAGCGCAUAUGCUGUGAGCUCGAUGAGUAGGGCGGGACACGUGGUAUCCUGUCUGAAUAUGGGGGGACCAUCCUCCAAGGCUAAAUACUCCUGACUGACCGAUAGUGAACCAGUACCGUGAGGGAAAGGCGAAAAGAACCCCGGCGAGGGGAGUGAAAAAGAACCUGAAACCGUGUACGUACAAGCAGUGGGAGCCCCACCACUAAGCCAGUGGUGAACUCCACAUACGCAUCCUUUGCUGAGGAUACGGUUAACGGAGCGCAAGCGACGUUCAACCGCAAAAGAAGCAGAGGGGGCUUAGUGGUGG
Molecule: ribosomal RNA, 661 nt
Filed under: Salmonella enterica
Lineage: Bacteria; Pseudomonadati; Pseudomonadota; Gammaproteobacteria; Enterobacterales; Enterobacteriaceae
Also listed under: 1 other name
Description: partial 23S ribosomal RNA
Rfam family: Bacterial large subunit ribosomal RNA
Source: RNAcentral